GACGAACCACACAAACGUUAUUCGGAAUUACUGGGCUUAAAGGGUGCGUAGGCGGCGCGGAAAGUAGGGUGUGAAAUCCCUCGGCUCAACCGAGGAAUUGCGCCCUAAACUACCGUGCUCGAGGGAGAUAGAGGUGAGCGGAACUUAGGGUGGAGCGGUGAAAUGCGUUGAUAUCCUAAGGAACACCGGUGGCGAAAGCGGCGCACUGGAUCUCUUCUGACGCUGAGGCACGAAAGCUAGGGUAGCGAACGGG
This 253-nucleotide ribosomal RNA is filed under the name uncultured bacterium. Its description in RNAcentral is "partial 16S ribosomal RNA". It matches the Rfam family "Bacterial small subunit ribosomal RNA", at positions 524 to 776 of the family's 1533-position model. The record is from RNAcentral.